Molecule: long non-coding RNA, 3638 nt
Organism: Gallus gallus (chicken)
Lineage: Eukaryota; Metazoa; Chordata; Aves; Galliformes; Phasianidae
Source: Ensembl
CUGUGCCAUCACUUAGGAUCUGACCUGAAGCUUGUUGAGCUGAAGAGCAUUUCUAGCAGUCCAGCAAGGCUUUAUUGAGAUUUAGCACUCAGUCUCUGAGGGAACAGUAUAUUUGUUUUCUUCAUCGUGUGAAUGUGACACAUGGGAUAAGGUUCUUAUUUUAGAUGAAGGACAAGUACAUGGGUUUUCUAUUUACCUGAUGGCAAGCACAGUUAGCUCUGAGGGUGCUGUACAUUAUCUUCCAUUCCCCAUCCUCACCCAGUAAUCUGUUGGUGCCUCUGCACCUGUUCCAGCAGUGAGCAGGAGGAGGGAGCAAGCCCUGUGCAUCGCUGGGGUUUUGCUAACAGGACAGGAAGAUUAAUCUAACUUCUGGGACACAGAGACAAGAGCUAGAUGUUAUUCCUAGCAGCCAAGGAUGAAAUAUCAGGAGCUGUCAACAGAUGAACAGAGCUUGAAGAGAUGAUGGAAGGCCUGUGGUCAGAUAUGGGCUUUUAAUGAUGGGCAGCCUAGGCAGAACGAUAUGAACUGGUUCUGCACUUCUGAGAUGGCUGGAAAGCUGCCAGAGACCUUGGAGACGUUAGGACACCGCUGGAAUGAAUUUGCGUGCAUACUUUGCUUUGUCAAACACAAGGAUGUAAAAAUACUGUAUUCCACCUGAAAGCUGCCUUGUUGCAGAGUCACAUCCAGCAUCAUUGCAAGCAUCUUUAGAUUGUGAAGAAGUGAAGCCUGUAGCAAGGAAGCAAUUGUUAAGGGAGUUAACUGAUGUUAUUGAAUAGGAUCUGCAUUUGUGGAACAGAAUUAGGAGGCGCUUUCUUUACAUAAAAUAAGAGGAGCCAUUCACAGGAGACUGCAUACAGAGCACAAGCAAGCUAGGUUGGGAGUUCAUGGUAAUACUAAAUACCUUGCAGUGCAUGAGCUAUUUUUCACCAGGGAGACCAGAAGCCCUGAUCAGUAUUAAGAGCCUGUUGUCCUAUCGCAAAUACAGAGCAAACACAGAUAACAGGUAGCCAGCCCUGGAAAAUGUUUGUUUAUUCUGAUACAAUGGCAGAUUUACGCAUAAUUUGUGGACCUGCACUUAAUCAAAUCACAUGAACAUGUAGGCAAACACGUGCGGCCAUGCUUGUGUCUUUCAUCAAAUGUGAUUGAUAAAGAAAAGAAUUAGUGUAAGGAGUUGCAUUGUUGGAGGGCAUCGUUGUAAGCCAAACCUCUAUCGUCCCAGCGAGCGGAGUUCCAGUAAUUGCAUUUUAAGGAGUAAUAAUUGACAUUUCAGGUACAAGAAGAGAAGAGCCUGGCUCAAUUGUAGAGUAUAUACCUCUCGAGAAUGACACAGGAAUGUCAUGAAUACGAAGACAGCAAAUUUUUGGCAUCUUUUACCUUUCAGGGGACAGCAGAUCAGCACACAGCCUUCACAAUGUUCUCCGUCUGUGAUGAUUUCGUUCUUUUAUUUACAGUCUUCCAUGGUGAUGGAGCCCACAAACUAUGUUCCACAAACUCCGUUCCACAUUCUUUGACUCCACCUAUGGGCAGCGUGGAUGGUGAAUGCUGGCUGAUGGCACCCUCACCCAAUUGCAGGAAGCCUGCUGCUCAGCAGCUUGAGGUGAAGCACAGAUCCUCCUUCAUGGCAUGGCACAGGCUGCAUGGAAAGCAAGGGAGGACAGAAGCACUUCAUCCAGCGCCUGGCAGGAUUGUUCAGCCUUCCCCACUGUCCUGUUAACAAGUCUGUUCCCAGAGUAGAGAACCUGAAUGAGACCCAGGGCAGCUUUUGACAUAGUCAUGCUUUAUGCUCUGCCAUCUCUCUGCUGGCAAGGCACCCAGCAGCUCAGCUUGACAGCGAGAGUCUCACUGCUGUGCUGGAGAAAGCCAGAGUUGUCACAGAAGUUGAUAUAUUUGGGUUUCCUUGGCCAGUGACAGACAAGUGCUUGACAAUGUGCUGUGCCUGCUCUAGUGCUCUGCUCCUUGCUGCCUGGGCUCUCAGUGGAGCAGCCAAACCCACAGGAGCUCACAUCUUGCAUGGGAUUAUGAGCUCCCAAUAUAAACCAGGAGGAUACCAUUGCUGGGCAGACAGGAACAGACAAAAGCAUUCAUUUAAUCUGUGCCAUCUACAAGUCUAGAACCAGAACGAGGUUCAAAGCCUUUGGCAGCCUGAGAUUGUUGGCAAUAGUGAGGCUAGAAAAGCCCUAGCUUAACCUGGAAAGCUGUGCUAAACACCUCACAAGAAAAUAUUUGUCUCUGAAUCAGAGCCUAAUUCUUGCUGUUGUUCUCUCAUGGGCACUGAAGAUCUCAGUGAUGCUCUGGACUUCCACGCUUGACAAUUUAGGUGUAGGAUGAAAUUUCCAGGAGCAUCCGUUAUAGAUCUACAGUAGGAAAUUAAACAUAUAUUCAGGCAUUGAGAUCCACUGGCACACUCACACUCCCAAAAUUCAGCCUCCAGAAUAGGAAGACCAUAUCCAGAGUGCCUACUGGCAGCAGCCUCUGUUCUGUGCUAACAACUACUCUGCUCUGGGAGCAGUCCUGAUAAGCAUUAUGGAUCUAUGCAUGUUGCAACCAUGCCAGGACUCUUCUAACAGAUUGAGAGUACGGAUUAUUGAUCCCCAGCAUCUGCCUGUGUUGUUUGAUUUAUUGGUAGAGAAGUGUAUGUGAAUUCUGAGCCUGAAUCCGGAUUAAAAACCAGAAUUAUGUCAAUCUGUAUCCACAGUGGUCCCAGAAGAGCUGGAGGAACACUCAGUGCAGCAGUCCUGACAUGAAUUGUCCAAAACGGCUAACUUGCCUGAGUAUAAUGACUUCAGCUAGAGUUGUAUUUAUCAGCCAGCUCCAGCCUUCAAGGACUUGGUUCUAAAAGAACCCUGAAUUGAUUAGUUACCCACCUAAACAGGUUUUACAUUCCAGAUGAGCUCCUUUAUUCAAAUGACAGAGGGCCAUUAUGUUGCUAGAAUGAUUACCAUGUCCUCCAUAUAUGGCUCCAAGUGAAUCAGUGAUCACUUUUAUAAGAAAAUUUGCUCCUACAAACUCCUCUGAUUUAAUGCUGCGGUCAUGGAUCCAGAUUGAGUUACAUUCCUACGCCUACCUGAAGAUAAGUGGACUUCCAGCCUCACCACCAGACACGUUCAUAUUUCAGGUAUAAUAGUCUUCCUUGAUUCCUGUUUGUUUUGGCCUCCAUCACUGCAGGUUCAUUGCUGUAAGAUACGUACUGAUGAGGGGCCUGAGUUCAGAGACAGAACUCCAAGCAAACCCAGAGUGUUGUAGGAUGUAGCAAUGUUUUUUUUGUUGUCUUUUUGCUUUUCUAGCAGGCAGUUCUUCCAUCACAGUUGCUGUGUUUAUGCUCUGCUGUAGUCUGUGCGUUUCUGAUAAGCUGGAGAACUGAAUUCUGACUAAAUGUGGUCAUAAAUGAUCCCGUGACACUUCUACAAUUAUCUCUGCUAAUGCAGCUUUCUGCUCGAGCUCCAGCCUGUCAAUGCUAUUCUCCAUCUGCAGCACUUUUAAUUGCAGGUGUAAAGAAGAUUGUUCAGUUACUGCUCUCACUUGCUGUGCAGGGCUAUCAGUCCUGUUAAAUCACUGCUUAAUAUUUCUAAGUGCAGAUUCAAGCCAGCUGCAUCCGCAUAACCCAUACACAGGUUUCACCACCCAUCCUUACUAACGCC